This 153-nucleotide ribosomal RNA is filed under the name Oxytricha longigranulosa. RNAcentral's name for it is "5.8S ribosomal RNA". It matches the Rfam family "5.8S ribosomal RNA". Rfam says of the family: 5.8S ribosomal RNA (5.8S rRNA) is a component of the large subunit of the eukaryotic ribosome. It is transcribed by RNA polymerase I as part of the 45S precursor that also contains 18S and 28S rRNA. Lineage: Eukaryota; Ciliophora; Spirotrichea; Sporadotrichida; Oxytrichidae. The record is from RNAcentral.
UCCAAAUUCUCAACGAUGGAUAUCUUGGUUCCCAUAACGAUGAAGAACGCAGCGAAGUGCGAUAAGCAAUGCGAAUUGCAGAACCGUGAGUCAUCAGAUUUUUGAACGCAACUGGCGCGAGGUGGCUCUCCAGUCGGCAUGCUUGUUUCAGUG